RNAcentral lists this transfer RNA (71 nucleotides) under Ixodes scapularis (black-legged tick). It matches the Rfam family "tRNA". From Rfam's summary of the family: Transfer RNA (tRNA) molecules are approximately 80 nucleotides in length. The record is from Rfam by way of RNAcentral. Lineage: Eukaryota; Metazoa; Arthropoda; Arachnida; Ixodida; Ixodidae.
CCGCGGGUGGCCAAAUGGUUCUCGUGCUUGCCUCCCACGCAAAAAGCCGAGGUUCGAUGCCUCUCCGCGGA